UGUCUUCGAGUCGUUGAUUUCACACUGCCGAGAAAAGCCUCUAGAUAGAAAAUAGGUGCCCGUACCGCAAACCGACACAGGUAGUCAAGAUGAGAAUUCUAAGGUGAGCGAGCGAACUCUCGUUAAGGAACUCGGCAAAAUGACCCCGUAACUUCGGGAGAAGGGGUGCUCUUUAGGGUUAACGCCCAGAAGAGCCGCAGUGAAUAGGCCCAAGCGACUGUUUAUCAAAAACACAGGUCUCUGCUAAACCGUAAGGUGAUGUAUAGGGGCUGACGCCUGCCCGGUGCUGGAAGGUUAAGAGGAGUGGUUAGCUUCUGCGAAGCUACGAAUCGAAGCCCCAGUAAACGGCGGCCGUAACUAUAACGGUCCUAAGGUAGCGAAAUUCCUUGUCGGGUAAGUUCCGACCCGCACGAAAGGCGUAACGAUUUGGGCACUGUCUCAACGAGAGACUCGGUGAAAUCAUAGUACCUGUGAAGAUGCAGGUUACCCGCGACAGGACGGAAAGACCCCGUGGAGCUUUACUGUAGCCUGAUAUUGAAAUUCGGCACAGCUUGUACAGGAUAGGUAGGAGCCUUUGAAACGUGAGCGCUAGCUUACGUGGAGGCGCUGGUGGGAUACUACCCUAGCUGUGUUGGCUUUCUAACCCGCACCACUUAUCGUGGUGGGAGACAGUGUCAGGCGGGCAGUUUGACUGGGGCGGUCGCCUCCUAAAAGGUAACGGAGGCGCUCAAAGGUUCCCUCAGAAUGGUUGGAAAUCAUUCAUAGAGUGUAAAGGCAUAAGGGAGCUUGACUGCGAGACCUACAAGUCGAGCAGGGUCGAAAGACGGACUUAGUGAUCCGGUGGUUCCGCAUGGAAGGGCCAUCGCUCAACGGAUAAAAGCUACCCCGGGGAUAACAGGCUUAUCUCCCCCAAGAGUUCACAUCGACGGGGAGGUUUGGCACCUCGAUGUCGGCUCAUCGCAUCCUGGGGCUGUAGUCGGUCCCAAGGGUUGGGCUGUUCGCCCAUUAAAGCGGUACGCGAGCUGGGUUCAGAACGUCGUGAGACAGUUCGGUCCCUAUCCGUCGUGGGCGUAGGAAAUUUGAGAGGAGCUGUCCUUAGUACGAGAGGACCGGGAUGGACAUACCUCUGGUGUACCAGUUGUCGUGCCAACGGCAUAGCUGGGUAGCUAUGUGUGGACGGGAUAAGUGCUGAAAGCAUCUAAGCAUGAAGCCCCCCUCAAGAUGAGAUUUCCCAACUUCGGUUAUAAGAUCCCUCAAAGAUGAUGAGG
RNAcentral lists this ribosomal RNA (1268 nucleotides) under Staphylococcus aureus. RNAcentral's name for it is "partial 23S ribosomal RNA". It matches the Rfam family "Bacterial large subunit ribosomal RNA", at positions 1581 to 2852 of the family's 2925-position model. The record is from RNAcentral. Lineage: Bacteria; Bacillati; Bacillota; Bacilli; Caryophanales; Staphylococcaceae.